Molecule: long non-coding RNA, 661 nt
Organism: Olea europaea var. sylvestris
Lineage: Eukaryota; Viridiplantae; Streptophyta; Magnoliopsida; Lamiales; Oleaceae
Exons: 2
Source: RefSeq, a predicted model, not a curated record
UUAUAUAAUAUGUCAACACUUAUUUUGUACGAGAAAAUAUGCAUGCAUAUUUCUAUUACGGAUUCUAAUUCAUUAGAAACAAUUUUGCAGACACAUUUCCAAAGAAUUGAGAGAACGGCCACUUAACAAAAAGGUGCAAUCACUUGCCAAUCAUGAGCAUUCUAAGAGCUCCAAAGACAAAAACGAUUCAUUUCACCAUGAUUACGAGGAUACAAUCAAAGGAAGCUCAACUAGAGACAUGACAAAAGAAGAGUUUGGUGUAUGCAAAAAUGAAAGAAACUUUUGGCAUUUAGAAAAUCAUUUAAUCUCUGAAUUUACUGCCUCAAGUAAUAGUUUAGACCUCCCCAUUUUUCACUCUAGUAGCCACACUCAUAUCAACCUGGACUUGACCAUCUCAUCAAGUUCUAGUUAAUGGAUACAUUAUAAAGUUUUGCUAUAUAUACAUCGGGGUUGAGACUAUGGUGUACACUUUCCUCACAAGAGAGAGCUCCACACUUUUUUUUAUUGGGAGUGUGCGCCUCUCUUGUAAGGAGAGUGUACACCAGAGUGUCAACCCCGGUGUACAACAAAUUCCUACUUUAUGUACACACCUCUAUUUUACAGACUAGUGGAAGUGGACUAUAUAUUUUUUUUCUUGUUAAUAUAUGGAUUCAGUUUUCAA